GACGAACGCUGGCGGCGUGCUUAACACAUGCAAGUCGAACGGAAAGGCCUCUUUCGGGGGGUACUCGAGUGGCGAACGGGUGAGUAACACGUGAGUAACCUGCCCUUGACUUUGGGAUAACUUCAGGAAACUGGGGCUAAUACCGGAUAGGAGCUCCUGCUGCAUGGUGGGGGUUGGAAAGUUUCGGCGGUUGGGGAUGGACUCGCGGCUUAUCAGCUUGUUGGUGGGGUAGUGGCUUACCAAGGCUUUGACGGGUAGCCGGCCUGAGAGGGUGACCGGCAACAUUCGGACUGAGAUACGGCCCAGACUCCUACGGGUGGCAGAAGUGGGGGAUAUUGCACAAUGGGUGGAAGCCUGAUGCAGCAACGCCGUGUGCGGGAUGACGGCGUUCGGGUUGUGAACCGCUUUCGCUCAUGACGAAGCUUUGUGUGACGGUAGUGGGUAAAGAAGCACCGGCUAACUACGUG
Molecule: ribosomal RNA, 467 nt
Filed under: uncultured bacterium
Lineage: Bacteria
Description: partial 16S ribosomal RNA
Rfam family: Bacterial small subunit ribosomal RNA
Source: RNAcentral